GGUUCACUGCGUCUACGGGCGGUACCUGGGUUCCUUGAAUUUUUCUUCGGGAACUGAAACGCGCUUACGGUACCUACAAUGUCCCAAAUAAACCCAAAAAUCAGUCCCAGGGUCUACUCGGCCAAUUUUAGAAAUCCGGCACGGUGGCUCCGUCAUGCUCUGACAACAGUGUCAUCGCUUGUGGUGGCAAUCUGUCUCGGGUUGGCUUUUUUCAACCGUUUUCGACCGAAUUCAGCCAAAUUUGCAUCAGUUUCGGCGAGAAAACACACUUAGGGCCCUCGGUUGGCUAAAAAAAACAUAGAAAACUGAAACUCACAUGCGGAGGGCUCUCCGGUGCAGU
This 340-nucleotide long non-coding RNA is filed under the name Carica papaya (papaya). RNAcentral's name for it is "long non-coding RNA (CPAP_LNC009153)". Lineage: Eukaryota; Viridiplantae; Streptophyta; Magnoliopsida; Brassicales; Caricaceae. The record is from RNAcentral.